RNAcentral lists this ribosomal RNA (544 nucleotides) under uncultured bacterium. Its description in RNAcentral is "partial 16S ribosomal RNA". It matches the Rfam family "Bacterial small subunit ribosomal RNA", at positions 354 to 888 of the family's 1533-position model. The record is from RNAcentral.
UGGGGGAAUUUUGGACAAUGGGCGAAAGCCUGAUCCAGCAAUGCCGCGUGUGUGAAGAAGGCCUUCGGGUUGUAAAGCACUUUUGUCCGGAAAGAAAUGGCUCUGGUUAAUACCUGGGGUCGAUGACGGUACCGGAAGAAUAAGGACCGGCUAACUACGUGCCAGCAGCCGCGGUAAUACGUAGGGUCCAAGCGUUAAUCGGAAUUACUGGGCGUAAAGCGUGCGCAGGCGGUUGUGCAAGACCGAUGUGAAAUCCCCGAGCUUAACUUGGGAAUUGCAUUGGUGACUGCACGGCUAGAGUGUGUCAGAGGGGGGUAGAAUUCCACGUGUAGCAGUGAAAUGCGUAGAGAUGUGGAGGAAUACCGAUGGCGAAGGCAGCCCCCUGGGAUAACACUGACGCUCAUGCACGAAAAGCGUGGGGAGCAAAACAGGAUUAGAUACCCUGGUAGUCCACGCCCUAAAACGAUGUCAACUAGUUGUUGGGGAUUCAUUUCCUUAGUAACGUAGCUAACGCGUGAAGUUGACCGCCUGGGGAGUACGGUCG